AGGGAAUCUUCGGCAAUGGACGCAAGUCUGACCGAGCAACGCCGCGUGAGUGAAGAAGGUUUUCGGAUCGUAAAACUCUGUUGUUAGAGAAGAACAAGGAUGAGAGUGAAAUGUUCAUCCCUUGACGGUAUCUAACCAGAAAGCCACGGCUAACUACGUGCCAGCAGCCGCGGUAAUACGUAGGUGGCAAGCGUUGUCCGGAUUUAUUGGGCGUAAAGCGAGCGCAGGCGGUUUCUUAAGUCUGAUGUGAAAGCCCCCGGCUCAACCGGGGAGGGUCAUUGGAAACUGGGAAACUUGAGUGCAGAAGAGGAGAGUGGAAUUCCUAGUGUAGCGGUGAAAUGCGUAGAGAUUAGGAAGAACACCAGUGGCGAAGGCGACUUUCUGGACAAUAACUGACGCUGAGGCUCGAAAGCGUGGGGAGCAAAC
Molecule: ribosomal RNA, 426 nt
Filed under: uncultured bacterium
Lineage: Bacteria
Description: bacterial SSU rRNA
Rfam family: Bacterial small subunit ribosomal RNA
Source: RNAcentral